UAGUUNGGCACUUUAAAGAGACUGCCGGUGAUAAACCGGAGGAAGGUGAGGACGACGUCAAGUCAGCAUGCCCCUUACGCCCUGGGCUACACACGUACUACAAUGGCCGAGACAAAGAGUCGCAAGUUUGCAAAGACAAGCUAAUCUCAUAAACUCGGUCUCAGUUCGGAUUGUAGGCUGCAACUCGCCUACAUGAAGUUGGAAUCGCUAGUAAUCGCCGGUCAGCUAUACGGCGGUGAAUCCGUUCCCGGGCCUUGUACACACCGCCCGUCACACCAUGGAAGCUGUUCAUGCCCAAAGUCGUUACCNUAACCGCAAGGAGAGG
This 325-nucleotide ribosomal RNA is filed under the name uncultured Teleaulax. RNAcentral describes it as "bacterial SSU rRNA". It matches the Rfam family "Bacterial small subunit ribosomal RNA", at positions 1128 to 1451 of the family's 1533-position model. The record is from RNAcentral. Lineage: Eukaryota; Cryptophyceae; Pyrenomonadales; Geminigeraceae.